CACGUAGUUAGCCGUCCCUUUCUGGUUAGAUACCGUCACACGAGGAGCUUUCCACUCUCCUCGUCGUUCUUCUCUAACAACAGAGUUUUACGAUCCGAAAACCUUCUUCACUCACGCGGCGUUGCUCGGUCAGACUUUCGCCAUUGCCGAAGAUUCCCUACUGCUGCCUCCCGUAGGAGUUUGGGCCGUGUCUCAGUCCCAAUGUGGCCGAUCACCCUCUCAGGUCGGCUAUGUAUCAUCGCCUUGGUGAGCCUUUACCUCACCAACUAGCUAAUACAACGCGGGAUCAUCUUUGAGUGAUGCAAUUGCAUCUUUCAAACUUAAAACUUAUGUUUAAAGCUAUUAUGCGGUAUUAGCAUUCGUUUCAAAUGUUCGUCCCCCGCUCAAAGGCAGACUUCCCCACGCGUUACUCACCCGUUCGCUGCUCAUCCAAUCGGUACAAGUACCAAUCUUCAGCGCUCAACUUGCAUGUAUUAGGCACGCCGCAGCUUCG
Molecule: ribosomal RNA, 493 nt
Filed under: uncultured Lactococcus sp.
Lineage: Bacteria; Bacillati; Bacillota; Bacilli; Lactobacillales; Streptococcaceae
Description: partial 16S ribosomal RNA
Source: RNAcentral